UUACGGUCACAUCACGUUGAAACACCAGUUCCCGUAAGAUCACCGAAAUUAAGCAACUUCGAGCCUGGAUGGUUAACCGUUUGGGAAUACCAAGUGCUGUAAGC
This is a non-coding RNA of Acanthosepion pharaonis, 104 nucleotides long. The record is from the annotation of a GenBank genome assembly. Lineage: Eukaryota; Metazoa; Mollusca; Cephalopoda; Sepiida; Sepiidae.